GAUGAAGAACGUAGCGAAAUGCGAUAAGUAAUGUGAAUUGCAGAAUUCAGUGAAUCAUCGAAUCUUUGAACGCACAUUGCGCCCGCCAGUAUUCUGGCGGGCAUGCCUGUCUGAGCGUCAUUUCAACCCUCAAGCAACUUCUGCUUGGUGUUGGGGAUCGGCCGUCAAACGCCGCCCCCGAAAUCUAUUGGCGAUCUCGCUAUAGCUUCCUAUGCGUAGUAGUAACAUCUCGCAUCUGGAGAGCGGCGCGGUCAUGCCGUAAAACACCCAACUUCUCAGGUUGACCUCAGAUCAUGUAGGAAUACCCGCUGAACUUAAGCAUAUCAAUAAGCGGAGGA
RNAcentral lists this unclassified non-coding RNA (338 nucleotides) under soil metagenome. RNAcentral describes it as "partial contains 5.8S ribosomal RNA, internal transcribed spacer 2, and large subunit ribosomal RNA". The stretch from base 1 to 120 matches the Rfam family "5.8S ribosomal RNA", at positions 35 to 154 of the family's 154-position model. The record is from RNAcentral.